AUACGGGGGGUGCAGGCGUUAUUCGGAUUUAUUGGGCGUAAAGAGCGCGUAGGCGGCUUGGUAAGUCAGAUGUGAAAGCCCGGGGCUCAACCCCGGAAGUGCAUUUGAAACUAUCGGGCUUGAGUAUGGGAGAGGGAAGUGGAAUUCCUGGUGUAGAGGUGAAAUUCGUAGAUAUCAGGAGGAACACCGGUGGCGAAGGCGACUUCCUGGACCAAUACUGACGCUGAGGCGCGAAGGCGUGGGGAGCAAACAGGAUUAGAAACCCUAGUAGUCC
RNAcentral lists this ribosomal RNA (274 nucleotides) under uncultured bacterium. RNAcentral's name for it is "partial 16S ribosomal RNA". It matches the Rfam family "Bacterial small subunit ribosomal RNA", at positions 523 to 796 of the family's 1533-position model. The record is from RNAcentral.